GACAGAGGGUGCAAACGUUGUUCGGAUUUACUGGGCGUAAAGCGCGUGUAGGCGGCCAGAUAAGUUGGGUGUGAAAGCCCUCGGCUUAACCGAGGAAGUGCGCCCAAAACUGCUUGGCUUGAGUACCGGAGAGGAUGGUGGAAUUCCCGGUGUAGAGGUGAAAUUCGUAGAUAUCGGGAGGAACACCAGUGGCGAAGGCGACCAUCUGGACGGAUACUGACGCUGAGACGCGAAAGCGUGGGGAGCAAACAGG
RNAcentral lists this ribosomal RNA (253 nucleotides) under uncultured bacterium. Its description in RNAcentral is "partial 16S ribosomal RNA". It matches the Rfam family "Bacterial small subunit ribosomal RNA", at positions 524 to 776 of the family's 1533-position model. The record is from RNAcentral.